GAUGAACGCUAGCGGCAGGCUUAAUACGUGCAAGUCGAGGGGCAGCAGUCCCGUAGCAAUACGGGAGCUGGCGACCGGCAAACGGGUGCGGAACACGUACGCAACUUUCCUUCAAGUGGGGAAUAGCCCAGGGAAACUUGGAUUAAUACCUCGUAAUAUUAUGAAGUGGCAUCACUUUAUAAUUAUAGCUCCGGCGCUUGAAGAUGGGCGUGCGCCUGAUUAGGUAGUUGGCGGGGAACGCCCACCAAGCCUACGAUCAGUAACUGGUGUGAGAGCACGACCAGUCACACGGGCACUGAGACACGGGCCCGACUCCUACGGGAGGCAGCAGUAAGGAAUAUUGGGCAAUGGACGCAAGUCUGACCCAGCCAUGCCGCGUGGAGGAUGAAGGUCCU
This 395-nucleotide ribosomal RNA is filed under the name uncultured bacterium. RNAcentral's name for it is "bacterial SSU rRNA". It matches the Rfam family "Bacterial small subunit ribosomal RNA", at positions 28 to 418 of the family's 1533-position model. The record is from RNAcentral.